Molecule: unclassified non-coding RNA, 317 nt
Filed under: Bartonella schoenbuchensis
Lineage: Bacteria; Pseudomonadati; Pseudomonadota; Alphaproteobacteria; Hyphomicrobiales; Bartonellaceae
Also listed under: 1 other name
Description: partial 16S-23S ribosomal RNA intergenic spacer
Source: RNAcentral
CUCUUUCUUCAGAUGAUGAUCCUUAUUAUGAGUGCAUUAAACUUAUUAUGAGUGCAAAUGUUUUGAAUAAAACCUUUUAAAUCAGCCUAUAAUCACAAAAGGUUAAGCAGGCUUGCCGCCUUCAUUUCUCUUUCUUCCGAUGAUGAUCCCAAGCCUUCAAGCGUUCUGUUCAUCAAAUUUCAAAAGCGUUUAAGAAACAGGUAAAAAGGUGUUUAAGAAACAUAUCUGUUUCUUAAACAUAUCUUUUUGUUUUCUUUUGUUUGUCCCGAGGAAGGUUUUUACCGAUUUACUCCUGAGGGCUUGUAGCUCAGUUGGUU